Molecule: ribosomal RNA, 555 nt
Filed under: Meyerozyma guilliermondii
Lineage: Eukaryota; Fungi; Ascomycota; Pichiomycetes; Serinales; Debaryomycetaceae
Description: partial large subunit ribosomal RNA
Rfam family: Eukaryotic large subunit ribosomal RNA
Source: RNAcentral
GCCCUUAGUAGCGGCGAGUGAAGCGGCAAAAGCUCAAAUUUGAAAUCUGGCGCCUUCGGUGUCCGAGUUGUAAUUUGAAGAUUGUAACCUUGGGGUUGGCUCUUGUCUAUGUUUCUUGGAACAGGACGUCACAGAGGGUGAGAAUCCCGUGCGAUGAGAUGCCCAAUUCUAUGUAAGGUGCUUUCGAAGAGUCGAGUUGUUUGGGAAUGCAGCUCUAAGUGGGUGGUAAAUUCCAUCUAAAGCUAAAUAUUGGCGAGAGACCGAUAGCGAACAAGUACAGUGAUGGAAAGAUGAAAAGAACUUUGAAAAGAGAGUGAAAAAGUACGUGAAAUUGUUGAAAGGGAAGGGUUUGAGAUCAGACUCGAUAUUUUGUGAGCCUUGCCUUCGUGGCGGGGUGACCCGCAGCUUAUCGGGCCAGCAUCGGUUUGGGCGGUAGGAUAAUGGCGUAGGAAUGUGACUUUACUUCGGUGAAGUGUUAUAGCCUGCGUUGAUGCUGCCUGCCUAGACCGAGGACUGCGAUUUUAUCAAGGAUGCUGGCAUAAUGAUCCCAAACCG